AUUGAACGCUGGCGGCAGGCCUAACACAUGCAAGUCGAGCGGAUGAAGGGAGCUUGCUCCUGGAUUCAGCGGCGGACGGGUGAGUAAUGCCUAGGAAUCUGCCUGGUAGUGGGGGAUAACGUCCGGAAACGGGCGCUAAUACCGCAUACGUCCUGAGGGAGAAAGUGGGGGAUCUUCGGACCUCACGCUAUCAGAUGAGCCUAGGUCGGAUUAGCUAGUUGGUGGGGUAAAGGCCUACCAAGGCGACGAUCCGUAACUGGUCUGAGAGGAUGAUCAGUCACACUGGAACUGAGACACGGUCCAGACUCCUACGGGAGGCAGCAGUGGGGAAUAUUGGACAAUGGGCGAAAGCCUGAUCCAGCCAUGCCGCGUGUGUGAAGAAGGUCUUCGGGUUGUAAGGCACUUUAAGUUGGGAGGAAGGGCAGUAAGUUAAUACCUUGCUGUUUUGACGGUACCAACAGAAUAAGCACCGGCUAACUUCGUG
This 484-nucleotide ribosomal RNA is filed under the name uncultured bacterium. Its description in RNAcentral is "partial 16S ribosomal RNA". It matches the Rfam family "Bacterial small subunit ribosomal RNA", at positions 30 to 507 of the family's 1533-position model. The record is from RNAcentral.